CAGACGGGAGACAGCAGGAGGGAAUAUGGGGCAAUGGGGGAAAAAAGGAAGAAGAAAGGGAGAGGGGAGGAGGAAGGGGGGAGGAGGGGAAAGGAGUGUUGUUAGAGAAGAUAAUGACGGUAUCUAACGAAUAAGCACCGGCUAACUCCGUGCCAGCAGCCGCGGUAAUACGGAGGGUGCAAGCGUUACUCGGAAUCACUGGGCGUAAAGAGCGCGUAGGCGGGAUAGCAAGUCAGAUGUGAAAUCCUAUGGCUUAACCAUAGAACUGCAUUUGAAACUGUUAUUCUAGAGUAUGGGAGAGGUAGGUGGAAUUCUUGGUGUAGGGGUAAAAUCCGUAGAGAUCAAGAGGAAUACUCAUUGCGAAGGCGACCUGCUAGAACAUAACUGACGCUGAUGCGCGAAAGCGUGGGGAGCAAACAGGAUUAGAUACCCCAGUAGUC
Molecule: ribosomal RNA, 440 nt
Filed under: uncultured bacterium
Lineage: Bacteria
Description: partial 16S ribosomal RNA
Rfam family: Bacterial small subunit ribosomal RNA
Source: RNAcentral